GACGGAGGGGGCUAGCGUUGUUCGGAAUGACUGGGCGUAAAGGGCGCGUAGGCGGUCUAUUAAGUGAGGCGUGAAAGCCCUGGGCUUAACCCAGGAGGUGCGUUUCAUACUGGUAGACUUGAGUACGAGAGAGGAAAGCGGAAUUCCUAGUGUAGAGGUGAAAUUCGUAGAUAUUAGGAAGAACACCAGAGGCGAAGGCGGCUUUCUGGCUCGUAACUGACGCUGAGGCGCGAAAGCGUGGGGAGCAAAC
Molecule: ribosomal RNA, 250 nt
Filed under: uncultured bacterium
Lineage: Bacteria
Description: partial 16S ribosomal RNA
Rfam family: Bacterial small subunit ribosomal RNA
Source: RNAcentral